GCUGGUCUCAAACUCCUGACCUCAGGUGAUCCACCUGCCUUGGCUUCCCGAAGUGCUGGGAUUACAGGCGUGAACCGCUGUGCCUGGCUCCUCCCAUGCUUUUGAUCUAAGCCUCAGAGCCUUUAUUAAACCUCCUCAGCCAGUCUUCUUCAUCUGGAUCCUGAAACAGACCUCCCCGGGAAGGGGGGGCCUCUCCAUCUGGUUUGCCUAAGUGGCCUCUUCAUAAGGUUGCAGACCCAGCUGUUCCAUCAGGUUUUGUGAGGACACUCUAAGGUGCACUAGAGGGAUGGCUUCAUCAGAGACACAGUUUGAAUCCAACCAUCCUUUUAAACAAGUAAGUUACACCUAACACAUGGCUAAAAUUUUAAAAUUAAAGCUAUACGAUAUUUA
Non-coding RNA from Macaca mulatta (Rhesus monkey), 390 nucleotides. Lineage: Eukaryota; Metazoa; Chordata; Mammalia; Primates; Cercopithecidae. The record is from RefSeq and is a predicted model, not a curated record.